Chenopodium quinoa (quinoa) is the source of this 1794-nucleotide long non-coding RNA. RefSeq lists it as uncharacterized. The transcript is spliced from 7 exons. Lineage: Eukaryota; Viridiplantae; Streptophyta; Magnoliopsida; Caryophyllales; Amaranthaceae. The record is from RefSeq and is a predicted model, not a curated record.
ACAAAUAUUUUAAUUUCAGUUUUAUAAGUAUGAAUUAUUUAAUGUAAAAGUAAUAAAAUUUUCUUUAUUAGUAAGUUAAAACAACUAAGUUCUUAUUUAAAUUAUAAGCCUUUCUUAACUUAGUGGCCCAAAUACUUAAUUCCUAUCCAAACCCAAAUUACCCAAAUCCUAAUCCUAAUAAAGUUAGAGAACUAAAACCCAAAUAAAAUAAAACCCUCACCUAUUCUUCUUCUCUCUUUCACGUGAAACAAAAGAAAAAAAAAACCCUCAAAUCUUUUCCUCCUCCCUGUUUCACGACUCAAUACAAAAAAAAAAAAAAAAAAAAAAAAAAAAAAAAAACUCAAGUUGAUGCCGCUGCUCCAGACGCACCACCACCGCCGCCCAGCCGCACCUCCGACCACCCAAACGAACCACCGUACAGCAGCCCUACAGAGAGGACUUUGUAGAAGGUGACUUCUAGUUCUAAAGUGGCCAACCGAAUUGUUUACACAAGUGACGAUCCAAUUUUUACACUUGUACUAUUGGGGAGCAGAUUAACCACAGGUUCUUACACAUGCAACAUCCGUUUCUAGAUGGUGGCACUAGUAGAAAAAUGGUAAUUGGCACCGAGCCAUGGCCACCGGUUUUAGAAAACCAGUGGGGAAGAAAAGGGGAAAAAUGGGGGCGAUUUUGAGGGAAGAGUAUUGCCACCGGUUCAAAACGAACCGGUGGGAAAAUAUUAAUCCCACCGGUUUUGAACCGGUGACUUUGUUAAAAAAAAAAAAACCGCGCUCAUAUGAAUAGGCCAAAACCCUAGCCUAUCAUGCAUCGCCUCCCUCCUCCUCCUCUCUUCUCUCUCUCUCUUCUUUCUCCUCUGCUUCUCUCUCCUCAACUAGCUAGAUCUCUCUGCUUCUCUCUCAUUAUCAACAACCAUCAUCGCCGCCGCCCUUCUCUCAUCUAUCUCUCAUCUGCUUCUCUCUCGUUCUCUCAUUAGGGCUCAGUUGCAAAAUCGAAAAUCUCCCCUAAAAACAUAAAACUCCGGCGAAAGCUCAACAAUGGCGGACGGAGGCGACAUGGAAAUCUCUCUUGACAAACUCCCUAUCAAACGCCUCGAAAUCAUCGAAGAAUUCAGCGCCGAUCGCUUCUCAUCCGACAUCGAAUACGAAGAGAAAUCGGUGAACUUGAUUCAGACUUCGCUUGGGCGUUGGAGAGAGAUGCGAAGAAGCAGAAGAAGACGAAGGAAUCAUCAGCGCCCUCCACAUUGCAAGAGGUGAUUGAGAAUUUGAGAUUGGCUCAUCAAGAGCUCUCUGUUAUCAUUGAUCUAAUUAACACUCCAGGUUGGUUCUUGCUUUGGGGGCUAAACCAAAGCUCGACAUGGUACCAAGGGCUGUAGAAUAUGCUCUGCCAUUUUCCACUUUUGAGGAUACAUGUGUAAGUAUUUGAGAACUACAGGAAAAAUGAGGAGACUGCGGUUGAGAAGAUAAAGGAGCCUAUUUUUUAUGAGAUCACUCAUGCCUUAAUCGGACGCUAUGGGUUGAAUUUCACCAGACAAGAUAUAUCUUCUCUCCGGUUUUAAUGCAAGCAGGUUCCAUAAUUUCAUCUAAGAAGUUCAAUUUGUUUUACUAAGAUAUGGGGCUGCUUCUGUGCUGGUGUUCUGCUCCUUAUGUGCUGUUGUUCUGCUCCUUAUGUGCUGUUGUUCUGCACUUCUGCUACUGUGUAGCUGCAUAUGUUUGUAACCUUGUAAUUUAUUUUAAUUUUUUAGACAAAAAUUGUAAUAUUACAGCAUUUUUUUAUGAAAAUAUGUAAGUUUAUAUA